Molecule: long non-coding RNA, 270 nt
Filed under: Elaeis guineensis (African oil palm)
Lineage: Eukaryota; Viridiplantae; Streptophyta; Magnoliopsida; Arecales; Arecaceae
Description: long non-coding RNA (EGUI_LNC031349)
Source: RNAcentral
CACCACUUGUAUGCCUUCGAGACCUCUACUAGGAUCACUCUAGGAAUCAUUUCUCAAAUGAUCUCACCACACAAAAAUUAGAUUGAAUGUUCAACACUUGAACAAUCUGAUUUUAGGACAAGCAUCACAUGCUUUUCAUUUCUCUCUUCCUUUCCAUUUUUCUUUCUCCCUUUUCUUUAUCUUUUUCCAAACUUUUUUCUUUCUUUUUUCUCUCAUUCCCACGCCUACAAUCAGCUAGAUAUGGGAUGCGAAACUUGGGUUAGCACCUCC